GAUGACGCUGGCGGGCGCCUUCGUCGGCGGCGUGCUGUCGAUGCGCCUGGGCGUGAUGCGGGUGCUGAUGCUCGGCGCCCUCGCCA
This 86-nucleotide transfer RNA is filed under the name Xylophilus sp. Its description in RNAcentral is "tRNA-Asp". The record is from RNAcentral. Lineage: Bacteria; Pseudomonadati; Pseudomonadota; Betaproteobacteria; Burkholderiales.